GGGCCCGCACAAGCGGUGGAACAUGUGGUUUAAUUCGACGCAACGCGCAAAACCUUACCUGGAUUUGACAUCCCGGGACCACCUCAGAGAUGAGGUUUUCUCUUCGGAGACCCGGUGACAGGUGCUGCAUGGCUGUCGUCAGCUCGUGUCGUGAGAUGUUGGGUUAAGUCCCGCAACGAGCGCAACCCAUGUCCCUAGUUGCCAGCAUUUAGUUGGGGCACUCUAGCGAGACUGCCGGUGAUAAGCCGGAGGAAGGCGGGGAUGACGUCAAGUCCUCAUGGCCCUUACGUCCUGGGCUACACACGUGCUACAAUGGCCGGUACAGAGAGCAGCCACUUCGCAAGAAGGAGCG
RNAcentral lists this ribosomal RNA (352 nucleotides) under uncultured bacterium. Its description in RNAcentral is "bacterial SSU rRNA". It matches the Rfam family "Bacterial small subunit ribosomal RNA", at positions 917 to 1269 of the family's 1533-position model. The record is from RNAcentral.